RNAcentral lists this ribosomal RNA (247 nucleotides) under uncultured bacterium. Its description in RNAcentral is "partial 16S ribosomal RNA". It matches the Rfam family "Bacterial small subunit ribosomal RNA", at positions 523 to 769 of the family's 1533-position model. The record is from RNAcentral.
AUACGGGGGGUGCGAGCGUUGUUCGGAAUCAUUGGGCGUAAAGAGCGUGUAGGCGGCUGGAUAAGUCAGAUGUGAAAGCCCUGGGCUUAACCCAGGAAGUGCAUUUGAAACUGUUCAGCUUGAGUAAGGGAGAGGAAAGUGGAAUUCCUGGUGUAGAGGUGAAAUUCGUAGAUAUCAGGAGGAACACCGGUGGCGAAGGCGACUUUCUGGCCCUAUACUGACGCUGAGACGCGAGAGCGUGGGUAGC